Molecule: ribosomal RNA, 59 nt
Filed under: Amanita rubrovolvata
Lineage: Eukaryota; Fungi; Basidiomycota; Agaricomycetes; Agaricales; Amanitaceae
Description: partial 26S ribosomal RNA
Rfam family: Eukaryotic large subunit ribosomal RNA
Source: RNAcentral
CUUGACCUCAAAUCAGGUAGGAUUACCCGCUGAACUUAAGCAUAUCAAUAAGCGGAGGA